GGUAUUGGAUAUCUCCAUUUACAUAACUGAUAAGGAUAGAAUC
RNAcentral lists this small RNA (43 nucleotides) under Skeletonema marinoi. RNAcentral describes it as "partial Mitochondrion-encoded tmRNA". The record is from RNAcentral. Lineage: Eukaryota; Bacillariophyta; Thalassiosirophyceae; Thalassiosirales; Thalassiosiraceae.